GUCCUCACUUCAACAACACAUAAACUAAAAUUGAAAUGAUACAGAGAAGAUUAGCAUGGCCCCUGUACAAGGAUGACAUGCAAAUUUGUGAAGUGUUUCAUAUUUUU
This is a small nuclear RNA of Callithrix jacchus (white-tufted-ear marmoset), 107 nucleotides long. The record is from Ensembl. NCBI's taxonomy places the organism in Eukaryota, Metazoa, Chordata, Mammalia, Primates, Cebidae.